GUUACAAUUAACAAGAAUCCCUAUUAGGGAUUGNAAA
Molecule: non-coding RNA, 37 nt
Filed under: Limnoraphis robusta CS-951
Lineage: Bacteria; Bacillati; Cyanobacteriota; Cyanophyceae; Oscillatoriales; Sirenicapillariaceae
Source: RNAcentral